GCUGUUUGAGACACGCCCGACAAUUGGUUAUCUGGGAGAGAGCGGGAUGCGACUCGCCUUCUGAUUGGUCGGCUCCAGGAUGCUCCCUGGACGCAGGUGGCUGGUCUGGGGUUGGAAUUCUACUUGGUAAAGGGAGAGUGGGUUAUGGGCUUUCCUGACCUUCUUGCUCUAGGGAGGGAAAGAAAAAGGAAAGGAGCGGGCAGAGGGAGAUGGCUUGGUGAGGUCCCCGAGAAAUGACUGACCUGACCUUUUUUGUCCCUGCCAAGUUGAACGGAGACAGAACUUGGACUUGUCCUGGCCACAGACGAGUCUCUCGGAGAUAACGAAGGCACACAAUCUCAUAUAAGUUGUAUAUGGACAAUUAUGUAAAAUAGUCAUGAAGAAACAGAAAAAAAGAGAAGUGUUCAGAUGUAUCAUCAAGGAUGCAACUAUCUCUAACCUCACGAUACUAAGUCAUUCUCACUUGUGCCUUGCUGGCUGAGAGCUCAAGAAGUUUAAAGAACAUGCCUCAGAGAGGAACAAAGACACCCUGAAAAAGCUACUCAGUUGUACAAUUCCAAGCAAACAUCUAGCAUACCUUUGUGAUGGCCAGUCUCUGUACAUCCCUCCUAGUCCUUAAUAUCAUACUGAGACAACAGCAUCAAGAUAGAGUAUAUAAUAGAAUUUUCUGGAGAUCAAAAUGAAGAGCAGACUGAACAAGCUCAACUCAGGAAGACACCAGUUGAACCAAGAAAACUUUUUAUGAUACAAUGUUGUACAAGUCCAUUCAUUUUUCACAUAUUUCCAUAUGAGUCAUGUUGGGAGGAAAAAAAACCAGAACAACAACAACAACUACCAAAAAAAAAAAGUAUGCUUCAAUCCACAGUCAUUUUCCACAGUUCUUUUUCUGGAUGUGGAUAGCAUUUUCUAUCCAAAGUUUAUUGGAAUUGCCUUGUGUCACUAAAUUGCUGAGAAGACCUGUCUAUCAUAGAUGAUCAUCACAUAAUCUUGCCCUUGUUGUAUUCACUGUUUUCCUGGUUCUGCUUUUUUCACUAAUCAUCAGUUUGAAAAAAAUAAUAGCAAUGAGGUUCAAACUUAAGUCCUCUAACUUCAAAUCCCAUGUACCACAAUGUUCUUCAAUCACCUCACAAAUAAAUAGAAUAAUCUACCUAA
Long non-coding RNA from Antechinus flavipes (yellow-footed antechinus), 1152 nucleotides. RefSeq lists it as uncharacterized. The record is from RefSeq and is a predicted model, not a curated record. The transcript has 5 exons. NCBI's taxonomy places the organism in Eukaryota, Metazoa, Chordata, Mammalia, Dasyuromorphia, Dasyuridae.